Molecule: ribosomal RNA, 488 nt
Filed under: uncultured bacterium
Lineage: Bacteria
Description: partial 16S ribosomal RNA
Rfam family: Bacterial small subunit ribosomal RNA
Source: RNAcentral
GGCGAACGCUGGCGGCGUGCCUAAUACAUGCAAGUCGAACGAAAAUACCAAGCUCGCUCGGUUGAUUCGUGGCGAACGGGUGAGUAACAAGUGAGUAACCUGCCUAUUUCUUUCCUGGAUAAAUGUUCGAAAGGCUAGCUCAAACGCGAUAUUACGACCUGCACCCCUGGGUUGGUUAGGAAAGGUCGUUUUUCCUGUCAGGGAUGGGUUCGCGGCCUAUCAGCUUGCUGGUGGGGUGAUGGCCUGCCAAGGCUUUGACGGGUAGCCGGCCUGGGUGGGUGGACGGUCACACUGGGACUGAGAUACGGCCCAGACUCCUACGGGAGGCAGCAGUGGGGAAUAUUGCACAAUGGGCGCAAGCCUGAUGCAGCGACGCCGCGUGAGGGAUGAAGGCCUUCGGGUUGUAAACCUCUUUCGUCAGGGAACAAGGCACUGCUUUUUUGGUGGUGUUGAGGGUACCUGGAUAAGAAGCGCCGGCUAACUACGUG